Molecule: long non-coding RNA, 755 nt
Organism: Chinchilla lanigera (long-tailed chinchilla)
Lineage: Eukaryota; Metazoa; Chordata; Mammalia; Rodentia; Chinchillidae
Exons: 4
Source: RefSeq, a predicted model, not a curated record
AAGUUACAAAACAGUCCCCAGAGAAAUGAUGCACUUCAAUAUGUCAUAGUUUCUACACUAUGAUGAAUUAGAAUGUCUCAAACACUAGACUGCAGAAACUUUCCAGAGAAUUCUGGUAGAUGGAGCAUAUUCUACACAUAGUAGGUUACAAACAUAAUGUGUGAAGAUAAAAAAGAUAAACCAGAAAAAGCGUGAGUUCAAUGAAAUUUUAAUAAGAAUGUCUAGGUUUGGGUGACUCCACUGAUCCGGUGUCUGCUGAGAUCACUGUCAUGGAGGGCAUCACGGUGUUGGAUGCAUGAAUGAAGGAAAUCACAAGUACCGGGAAUCAAACUCAUGACCUCGCGCUUGCCAGGUAUUUAAUUUAAUUUAUUGGAAAAAAAAAUCACAUUCAAAACCGAGGACAAGAAGUAGGAAAAAUCACUGCAGAUGUGGAGAGAGAUUUAGUAAGAUGUGAAGUGUAACAGUAGAAUGAACGUAGUGGGCUAGGCAAGCCAAGCCUGGGAUUAAUGACACAGACAGGCAUAUUCAACACGGAGCAACAGCAUCUGUGCCUGUGAUAGUAUCAUCAUCACUUUCUAGACAGCUGUACGUCCACAUGAGCGAGCAGAAGAAGACCCAGCCCGUAUUUCCCACUAAUGACAAAAUUAGCCAUCCAACCUCAAUAUACUUACAUGGAAACAGUGUUUCAGCGUUCUUUCUUAAUAACUAAGCUGUAGUUACAGCCCCCUUUUCUACUUGACUCCAUGAUGCUCAUA